Molecule: long non-coding RNA, 1553 nt
Organism: Amphimedon queenslandica
Lineage: Eukaryota; Metazoa; Porifera; Demospongiae; Haplosclerida; Niphatidae
Exons: 5
Source: RefSeq, a predicted model, not a curated record
GUAGACGCUAAAAAUAGUAGGCUUAAGGUACUAAAAAUCUAAUAUUAAUAACUUGGAGGAUUAGCCUAGUUAUUAAAGAAUCUAAAAUUGCCACCCACUCAUCAUUAAUAAUUAUGAAUAACAAGCAACUCAAGUGAUUAAGUAUAUCGUGUUAAAGUCAGACAAUGUCAUUAUGAGAAGAAAUUAUACCAUGUUGAAAUCAGAAGUAAGAACCGAUUUCAGGGCUAAGCAAAACAUUUCGUAGUCUCCUAUGAAGUGUUGUGGAAAAUUUAUUUCGCCUGAACAAAGGUGUGUAGAUAUAGUUCCCAUGCUAUCGGUUGUAAACUUAAUCUUUAUUGAGUUCAGCAGGACUGACAUCUUGCCCGUAAUACUAAUAAAAAUACAAAUUCCAUCAAACCUAGAAUAUAAAGUAGAGUGAAAAAAUGGGUAAAAACCAUGGAAUUGGUUAUAUCCAAAUACCUUCUAAAUCACAUUCAUCAAUACAUCUCCUCAAAUAACUUAAAAUAGAGCUCUCCUGUGCAACAAACAAUUGCUCAUUAGGCAAUGCUAGGGCAUUGUGAACAUUAUCAGCAGUGAGAUCUCUUGAAAAUAUAAAAAAUACCUGCAAGUUUAUAUUUAGCUUUGGAUGGAGUUGUUAGAAUUGAUGUCUGGAGAAACUAUAUACUUGAAGACUCCUUAGUUGUGUGCAAAAAAGAGGAUUUUUCUCCUAAGAAAUUGCUUAAGGUAAGAAAGUUUGCACUUGAACAUGCAAUUGAUUUAGGUGGACCAAAAUGAGAAUUCUUUCACUUGCUUUCUGCAGAAGCUACUAAGUACUUGAUUGGAGAUUUUGGUAAAUUUUUUUCCACCAACGCUUUGGCUGUUCAGGCCAAUACUGCGGCAUGUCAGUGACCCAGGGAGGCAAUGGGUUUCCGUAUUUUCAUCACUUGGUAUAUGAAUAUUUUGUUACUGGAGCUGUAUCGUGUACUAUUGAUAUUGAUAGAGAUUGUAUCCCUUAUGGAAUUUUGAAGUACAUUUUGGAUAAACUAGAUACAGCGGACUCAAAAGACGACAUUCAAGCAGUGUUUCAUGUUGAUGAAGCCACUGAAUUUUUAUAUGCCACUGACUCUCCUAAACCUGUAUUAAAUCUGGUCUUAGAUGACAAGGAUAACAUCCAAUCCAUUUUUGUAGCCUAUCAUUGUUUUCUAAAAGUCAAAUCUGAAAUGGAUCGGUUUAUUGAGGGGCUACAUGUCACUGGAGUACUUGAUUUUGUUCGGAGUCACCCUCUGCAUUAAGACACAUGUUUGUUUUCAUUAAAAAGAAACUGACAGCUGGUUAGGUUUUUUUGCACUUUUUUAUUUUUAGUUUUUAGAGGAAUUAAAGUCAUUAUUUAAAUUUAAAUGUGGCUUAGAAGUUGACUCUCUUGAACCAGUUGCCAGCAACAAAGUUGCUCAAUGUUUAUAGUAUAUAGCAUAUGGCAUAUAUGUACAUGAUGACCACUGUGAGAUGGGGAGUGGUUGUCAGGCUACUCCUCCUCAUCACGACGUGUGUGUGUGUGUGUGUGUGUGAGUGUGUGU